AUUAAACGCUGGCGGCAUGCCUUACACAUGCAAGUCGAACGGCAGCACGGGUGCUUGCACCUGGUGGCGAGUGGCGAACGGGUGAGUAAUACAUCGGAACGUACCUUAUCGUGGGGGAUAACGCAGCGAAAGUUGCGCUAAUACCGCAUACGCCCUGAGGGGGAAAGCGGGGGACCGUAAGGCCUCGCGCGAUUAGAGCGGCCGAUGUCUGACUAGCUUGUUGGUGAGGUAAAAGCUCACCAAGGCGAUGAUCAGUAGCUGGUCUGAGAGGACAAUCAGCCAGACUGGGACUGAGACACGGCCCAGACUCCUACGGGAGGCAGCAGUGGGGAAUUUUGGACAAUGGGGGCAACCCUGAUCCAGCAAUGCCGCGUGAGUGAAGAAGGCCUUCGGGUUGUAAAGCUCUUUUGUCAGGGAAGAAACAGCAGCUCUAACGCAGUCUGCGAAUGACGGUACCUGAAGAAUAAGCACCGGCUAACUACGUGCCAGCAGCCGCAGUAA
Molecule: ribosomal RNA, 501 nt
Filed under: uncultured bacterium
Lineage: Bacteria
Description: partial 16S ribosomal RNA
Rfam family: Bacterial small subunit ribosomal RNA
Source: RNAcentral